CCUACGGGGGGCAGCAGUGAGGAAUAUUGGUCAAUGGACGAGAGUCUGAACCAGCCAAGUAGCGUGAAGGAAGACUGCCCUAUGGGUUGUAAACCUCUUUUAUAAAGGAAUAAAACGAGCCACGCGUGCCUUUCUGCAUGUACUUUAUGAAUAAGGAUCGGCUAACUCCGUGCCAGCAGCCGCGGUAAUACGGAGGAUCCGAGCGUUAUCCGGAUUUAUUGGGUUUAAAGGGUGCGUAGAGGGGUUGUUAAGUCAGUUGUGAAAGUUUGCGGCUCAACCGUAAAAGUGCAUUUGAUACUGGCUGUCUUGAGUGCAGUUGAAGUAGGCGGAAUGCGUGGUGUAGCGGUGAAAUGCUUAGAUAUCACGAAGAACCCCGAUUGCGAAGGCAGCUUACUAAACUGUAACUGACAUUGAUGCUCGAAAGUGUGGGUAUCAAACAGGAUUAGAUACCCUUGUAGUC
Molecule: ribosomal RNA, 460 nt
Filed under: uncultured bacterium
Lineage: Bacteria
Description: partial 16S ribosomal RNA
Rfam family: Bacterial small subunit ribosomal RNA
Source: RNAcentral